UGCGUGUGCAGUCUGUGUGGUGGACCGCAGGCCUCUGAGACCCUGAAGUUUCUCACUCUUCCUCGGGUCCUGGUCCUUCUGGUGCAGCGCUUUGACUUCACGUGCUCCAUGAUCAAGCUGAAGAAUCGACUGGAGAUUCCCGAGGAGCUGACACUGUCCUGUGUUAAAGAGAGAACAAAGCAGCCAGAGUCAGACGAAAACCGCAGAGCUCGCAGCCGAUCAUUUCUCCAGAGAAUAUUCAGGAAAAAGAACAGAGUUGCUGCACAGACAACACAGGAAAGAGAUAGAUGGAUGGAUGGAUGGGUGGAUGG
Molecule: long non-coding RNA, 311 nt
Filed under: Sinocyclocheilus anshuiensis
Lineage: Eukaryota; Metazoa; Chordata; Actinopteri; Cypriniformes; Cyprinidae
Description: lncRNA (ENSSANG00000036445.1)
Source: RNAcentral